Molecule: RNA transcript, 931 nt
Organism: Zingiber officinale
Lineage: Eukaryota; Viridiplantae; Streptophyta; Magnoliopsida; Zingiberales; Zingiberaceae
Gene name: mitochondrial pyruvate carrier 1-like
Exons: 6
Source: RefSeq, a predicted model, not a curated record
CAAUGCAUGGUGGUGGAGCAUCCUCUGCACCGCAUUUUGCGGUGCAGAGGAUCUCCUCUGCUGCGCGAUGGCGACGGUGAUCGAUCACAGCACGCCACCGCCUAUGCCAAAUUGAACUCGCCUUCGCAGACUCUCUCUUUCGUCUGCAACGACGCCGGCUCUUGCGCCUCUUCUCCUUGCUUCCCCGGCUUCUUCCGAAGUGUGCCUUCCCUUCCCCUCGCCGCUCGCCUCUUCCCACACGAACGAUCCGAACUCAUUAGAGUUUCCAGUCGAGUGUGUAAACAUUGAAGAACAGCUAGAAGAGACAGGUGCAUACUAUGGCAGCUUUCAGAUCAUUUUGGAAUAGCCCUAUGGGUCCAAAAACAACUCACUUCUGGGGACCAGUUGCAAAUUGGGGCUUCGUUAUCUCUGGUUUAGCAGAUACACAGAAACCCCCAGAGUUGAUAUCUGGGAAUAUGACUUCAGUCAUGUGCAUCUACUCUGUACUGUGCAUGAGAUUUGCAUGGAUGAUACGACCUCGUAACUACCUGCUUCUCGUCUGUCAUGCCUCUAAUGAAUCAGUUCAGCUCUUUCAGUUAUCCAGAUGGGCGAAAGCACAUGGGUAUCCAGCUCUUCGAACUAACUAAUUCUGGAGGUGACUGGCUAGACCCCAUGAAUGUUUCCCACCGACCACUAAGGUACCUGGCCAACAAGGAGCUUGAACAAAAUAAAUAGACCCUGACAAACUUCUAAUUAAGAUAUGUUUUUUUUUCUUAUCAAUAAAAUGAGUCCCUUGUUCGGUUUUCAUUUUCCUUUGUUUCUCUCUCUCUGGAGUUGUCUAAACUAUCAUUUAAUAUUAAAGAUAAACCUUUCUGUGUUAAUAUAAAGUGCAUUUCAAUUCAAUUUUGGACUUCAAUUCUUUUUAUUAUUAAAAUAAAUAAUUUUCAUGUUA